CCCUCAGAAUGGUUGGAAAUCAUUCAUAGAGUGUAAAGGCAUAAGGGAGCUUGACUGCGAGACCUACAAGUCGAGCAGGGUCGAAAGACGGACUUAGUGAUCCGGUGGUUCCGCAUGGAAGGGCCAUCGCUCAACGGAUAAAAGCUACCCCGGGGAUAACAGGCUUAUCUCCCCCAAGAGUUCACAUCGACGGGGAGGUUUGGCACCUCGAUGUCGGCUCAUCGCAUCCUGGGGCUGUAGUCGGUCCCAAGGGUUGGGCUGUUCGCCCAUUAAAGCGGUACGCGAGCUGGGUUCAGAACGUCGUGAGACAGUUCGGUCCCUAUCCGUCGUGGGCGUAGGAAAUUUGAGAGGAGCUGUCCUUAGUACGAGAGGACCGGGAUGGACAUACCUCUGGUGUACCAGUUGUCGUGCCAACGGCAUAGCUGGGUAGCUAUGUGUGGACGGGAUAAGUGCUGAAAGCAUCUAAGCAUGAAGCCCCCCUCAAGAUGAGAUUUCCCAACUUCGGUUAUAAGAUCCCUCAAAGAUGAUGAGGUUAAUAGGUUCGAGGUGGAAGCAUGGUGACAUGUGGAGCUGACGAAUACUAAUCGAUCGAAGACUUAAUCAA
Molecule: ribosomal RNA, 604 nt
Filed under: Pseudomonas aeruginosa
Lineage: Bacteria; Pseudomonadati; Pseudomonadota; Gammaproteobacteria; Pseudomonadales; Pseudomonadaceae
Also listed under: 1 other name
Description: partial 23S ribosomal RNA
Rfam family: Bacterial large subunit ribosomal RNA
Source: RNAcentral